AAUUAGAAGUCAACUCAAUGAGA
Molecule: non-coding RNA, 23 nt
Filed under: Cricetulus griseus (Chinese hamster)
Lineage: Eukaryota; Metazoa; Chordata; Mammalia; Rodentia; Cricetidae
Source: RNAcentral